ACACAAGAAGGCGACUCACCGUUGACACAGUGAACACAUAUCAAGCCAUGGACAUACUUGAGGAUACUUAUUCAAAGAGGAUGAGAAUGCGCUGACAUAGUGAGGAGACGUCUGGGCGUCACAUUCUACAGACAGAAGUUUUAGCUGGAACAAGUCCUGGCGAUUGGCAAAGAUGACUUCUUCGGAAUAUGACAGUGACACCUCCACCCAUUUUCUGGCCAUAGACUCCAAGCCCAGAUCUUCCAGAUCUAAUCUUAAAGGGGAUAUCCAGCAUAAGCCUAGUGGACAGGAGACAACACCUACAUAAUUGCCUGUUGAAGUUUCAAAGGAGAAAGGACAAAGGGCAAAGGACACGGACAAAGAGGAGGAAAGGACCCAACAUAUGUCCACUACUGAGAAAUCUAGGAAAGAAAAAAAAUUGACUCAUGAAGUGGAUCCAUCAUCAUGUAUGACAGAGGAUGUGAUCCAUUAUGUCCAGGAGAGACCAUCACUAUGGGAUAAAUCUCAUCCCAAGCACCAUGACAACAUUUCUACUCGUAGAAGAUGGGAAGAGAUAUAUCUUAAAAUAUUUCCUGAUUUCAAAAAUGAUAGUGAAAAAAUAUAGUGAAAAAGUUAGAUUCUUCAUGUUUUUGUGCAUGAUAAUGUCUUCAAAUGUAUUAAUCCCUUCAGGACCAAGCCCAUUUUGGCCUUAAGGACCAGAGCGUUUUUUGCACAUCU
Long non-coding RNA from Hyla sarda, 717 nucleotides. RefSeq lists it as uncharacterized. The record is from RefSeq and is a predicted model, not a curated record. The transcript has 6 exons. Lineage: Eukaryota; Metazoa; Chordata; Amphibia; Anura; Hylidae.